RNAcentral lists this long non-coding RNA (579 nucleotides) under Homo sapiens (human). RNAcentral describes it as "PREDICTED lncRNA (TCONS_00040840)". The record is from RNAcentral. Lineage: Eukaryota; Metazoa; Chordata; Mammalia; Primates; Hominidae.
CACUUUUCAUACAAUUUAUUUGUUACUUUGCAUUCCUUUUUUCUUAGUGCGGUGUCCAAAAUUGUAAGAAUCCUUUAUCCCACAAAAAAUUGAUCCUGUCUUUUACAGAAUUGCCCAGCAGAUGUCUUUUUCAUUUCCUUUGCUUGUGGUUUGCCCAUCUGUCAGCUGUGAAUGACCCAAACAACGUGACACGCUAUUUCUAACUCAACAGUCCUGGAACUUUCUUGACCUUUGACAAAGCCAUCAGAUCACCAUCACCAUCAUUAUUGUUUAUAGAAACAUGAAAAUUCAACCAUAAAAAGUCAUCUUGGGCUGAGCAUGGUGGCUCUAACAUGUAAUCCCAGCACUUUGGGAGCCUAAGAUCUUUACCAUGCUGGAUUGGAAGAGAAAAGACCAUCACUAAAGCAAAUGGAUCAAAUGGAGUUAUAAAUCAACUCUGUACUCUACAGGAUUGACUCAACUGCAGACAUCUCCAAUACACUCCCUCAUGGCUUUAUUUUUUCUGCUUAUGUGGAAAAAUAACAGUAAAUACAGUUAACUAUCCCAAGACAGAAGAGUAUUAUUAAAAAAGAAUACAAC